UACGGGAGGCAGCAGUAGGGAAUCUUCCACAAUGGACGAAAGUCUGAUGGAGCAACGCCGCGUGAGUGAUGAAGGUUUUCGGAUCGUAAAACUCUGUUGUAAGGGAAGAACAGGCAUGAGAGGUAAUGCUC
RNAcentral lists this ribosomal RNA (131 nucleotides) under uncultured bacterium. Its description in RNAcentral is "partial 16S ribosomal RNA". It matches the Rfam family "Bacterial small subunit ribosomal RNA", at positions 340 to 469 of the family's 1533-position model. The record is from RNAcentral.